UACGGAGGGUGCAAACGUUGUCCGGAAUUACUGGGCGUAAAGCGCAUGUAGGUGGUUUUGUAAGUCAGCGAUGAAAGACCGACGCUUAACGUCGGGAACGUUUCUGAUACUGCAAAACUUGAGGAAGACAGGGGUAAGCGGAACUUUAGGUGUAGGAGUGAAAUCCGUAGAUAUCUAAAGGAACACCAAUGGCGAAGGCAGCUUACUGGGUCUUAUCUGACACUGAGAUGCGAAAGCGUGGGGAGCGAACGGG
Molecule: ribosomal RNA, 253 nt
Filed under: uncultured bacterium
Lineage: Bacteria
Description: partial 16S ribosomal RNA
Rfam family: Bacterial small subunit ribosomal RNA
Source: RNAcentral